RNAcentral lists this long non-coding RNA (298 nucleotides) under Mustela putorius furo (domestic ferret). RNAcentral describes it as "lncRNA (ENSMPUG00000025478.1)". Lineage: Eukaryota; Metazoa; Chordata; Mammalia; Carnivora; Mustelidae. The record is from RNAcentral.
AAGCUGAACUUCAAGGGUGACAGUUUAUGGAUGGCUAUUCAGAAUUGUGUAGCUCCAUAUAUGCAGUGACACUCAGGUGGGAAAUUGGAGAUUGCCUCGACUGGAGAAUUUUCAAAGGCUUGAUACCUAAAUGUAUUCUUCGGGUGGAUUUUUCCCGAUGAUGCGACAUCAUUUGAAUACACUGAAGUCUCAUCAUUUACCAGGUGUGCAGAAGGUUUUAAAACACUUUGAGCUGGUGGCCAGUCUUCGAAAAGCAGAAUGUUUCACAUCAAAAUCCAGAUUCCUGGCAUCUUUUUAA